UUCAAGUGUGCCAAUCAUUCAAGGAUGUUCAGCAAAAUCUUCUUCCCCUUAAAUAUUAUAUUUUUAUUGUAUUUAUUAUGCUCAUUUAAGGAGCUGUUGUGCUAAAAUUUAUGUAUACUAUGUUCUUGCUAUUGUAUUUUGGAUUUUGAGUUUUGGGGGGUUUCAAAACUUGGAUAGAGUGAUCCGAAUUUGAAAUCGGAGUA
RNAcentral lists this long non-coding RNA (203 nucleotides) under Elaeis guineensis (African oil palm). RNAcentral's name for it is "long non-coding RNA (EGUI_LNC016860)". Lineage: Eukaryota; Viridiplantae; Streptophyta; Magnoliopsida; Arecales; Arecaceae. The record is from RNAcentral.